CCCGAGCCGCUGUAAAAGCUCAACCCAAUGAGAUUUUCCUGUAGAGGUUAGCGGCAAAUAACGCCAUACGAUAAGUAGGGGCGUUAUGUAGUGCCGGAUGAAAUGCCGGUGAA
RNAcentral lists this small RNA (113 nucleotides) under unclassified sequences. RNAcentral's name for it is "Mahella-1 RNA". It matches the Rfam family "Mahella-1 RNA". The record is from Rfam by way of RNAcentral.